This 1346-nucleotide ribosomal RNA is filed under the name uncultured bacterium. RNAcentral's name for it is "partial 16S ribosomal RNA". It matches the Rfam family "Bacterial small subunit ribosomal RNA", at positions 28 to 1381 of the family's 1533-position model. The record is from RNAcentral.
GACGAACGCUGGCGGCGUGCUUAACACAUGCAAGUCGAACGGAAAGGCCCUGCUUUUGUGGGGUGCUCGAGUGGCGAACGGGUGAGUAACACGUGAGUAACCUGCCCUUGACUUUGGGAUAACUUCAGGAAACUGGGGCUAAUACCGGAUAGGAGCUCCUGUUGCAUGGUGGGGGUUGGAAAGUUUCGGCGGUUGGGGAUGGACUCGCGGCUUAUCAGCUUGUUGGUGGGGUAGUGGCUUACCAAGGCUUUGACGGGUAGCCGGCCUGAGAGGGUGACCGGCCACAUUGGGACUGAGAUACGGCCCAGACUCCUACGGGAGGCAGCAGUGGGGAAUAUUGCACAAUGGGCGGAAGCCUGAUGCAGCAACGCCGCGUGCGGGAUGACGGCCUUCGGGUUGUAAACCGCUUUCGCCUGUGACGAAGCGUGAGUGACGGUAAUGGGUAAAGAAGCACCGGCUAACUACGUGCCAGCAGCCGCGGUGAUACGUAGGGUGCGAGCGUUGUCCGGAUUUAUUGGGCGUAAAGGGCUCGUAGGUGGUUGAUCGCGUCGGAAGUGUAAUCUUGGGGCUUAACCCUGAGCGUGCUUUCGAUACGGGUUGACUUGAGGAAGGUAGGGGAGAAUGGAAUUCCUGGUGGAGCGGUGGAAUGCGCAGAUAUCAGGAGGAACACCAGUGGCGAAGGCGGUUCUCUGGGCCUUUCCUGACGCUGAGGAGCGAAAGCGUGGGGAGCGAACAGGCUUAGAUACCCUGGUAGUCCACGCUGUAAACGGUGGGUACUAGGUGUGGGGUCCAUUCCACGGGUUCCGUGCCGUAGCUAACGCUUUAAGUACCCCGCCUGGGGAGUACGGCCGCAAGGCUAAAACUCAAAGGAAUUGACGGGGCCCCGCACAAGCGGCGGAGCAUGCGGAUUAAUUCGAUGCAACGCGUAGAACCUUACCUGGGUUUGACAUGGAUCGGGAGUGCUCAGAGAUGGGUGUGCCUCUUUUGGGGUCGGUUCACAGGUGGUGCAUGGCUGUCGUCAGCUCGUGUCGUGAGAUGUUGGGUUAAGUCCCGCAACGAGCGCAACCCUUGUUCACUGUUGCCAGCACGUUAUGGUGGGGACUCAGUGGAGACCGCCGGGGUCAACUCGGAGGAAGGUGGGGAUGACGUCAAGUCAUCAUGCCCCUUAUGUCCAGGGCUUCACGCAUGCUACAAUGGCUGGUACAGAGAGUGGCGAGCCUGUGAGGGUGAGCGAAUCUCGGAAAGCCGGUCUCAGUUCGGAUUGGGGUCUGCAACUCGACCUCAUGAAGUCGGAGUCGCUAGUAAUCGCAGAUCAGCAACGCUGCGGUGAAUACGUUCCCGGGGCU